UAGAGUUUGAUCAUGGCUCAGGACGAACGCUGGCGGCGUGCUUAACACAUGCAAGUGGAGCGACGAACCCGAGCUUGCUCGGGGGCAAAGCCGCGAACGGGUGAGUAACACGUGGGUAACCUGCCCUGUUGAUUGGGACAACCCCGGGAAACCGGGGCUAAUACCAAAUGUGCUCGCAUCUACAUCAGUAGGAGCGAGGAAAGGAGGCUUCGGCUUCCGCAACGGGAUGAGCCUGCGGCCCAUCAGGUAGUUGGCGGAGCAACAGCCCACCAAGCCUAAGGCGGGUAGCUGGUCUGAGAGGAUGAUCAGCCACACUGGAACUGAGACACGGUCCAGACUCCUACGGGAGGCAGCAGUGGGGAAUCUUGCGCRAUGGACGAAAGUCUGACGCAGCGACGCCGCGUGGGUGAUGAAGGCCUUCGGGUUGUAAAGCCCUGUGGGGAGGGACGAAUAAGUGCCGGUUAAUACCCGGCACGAUGACGGUACCUCCUUAGCRRAGCACCGGCUAACUCUGUGCCAGCCGCCGCGGKRAKACARAGGG
Molecule: ribosomal RNA, 541 nt
Filed under: uncultured Chondromyces sp.
Lineage: Bacteria; Pseudomonadati; Myxococcota; Polyangiales; Polyangiaceae
Description: bacterial SSU rRNA
Rfam family: Bacterial small subunit ribosomal RNA
Source: RNAcentral